This 378-nucleotide unclassified non-coding RNA is filed under the name uncultured bacterium. RNAcentral describes it as "contains 16S-23S intergenic spacer region". The record is from RNAcentral.
UCCGGUUUGUCACCGGCAGUCUCAUUAGAGUGCCCAACUGAAUGUAGCAACUAAUGACAAGGGUUGCGCUCGUUGCGGGACUUAACCCAACAUCUCACGACACGAGCUGACGACAGCCAUGCAGCACCUGUGUCUAGGUUCCCUUUCGGGCACACUCACAUCUCUGCGAGCUUCCUAGCAUGUCAAGGGUAGGUAAGGUUUUUCGCGUUGCAUCGAAUUAAACCACAUGCUCCGCUGCUUGUGCGGGUCCCCGUCAAUUCCUUUGAGUUUUAGCCUUGCGGCCGUACUCCCCAGGCGGGGUGCUUAAUGCGUUAGCGACGGCACUGCGGGGGUCAAUACCCACAACACCUAGCACCCAUCGUUUACAGCGUGGACUAC